RNAcentral lists this long non-coding RNA (549 nucleotides) under Monodelphis domestica (gray short-tailed opossum). RNAcentral's name for it is "lncRNA (ENSMODG00000035788.2)". Lineage: Eukaryota; Metazoa; Chordata; Mammalia; Didelphimorphia; Didelphidae. The record is from RNAcentral.
UUUCAAAAAGAAGAAUAAUGUCUAAAAAAGGAAGUUCAGAAAUUUUGCAUUAACUUGGACAAAAAUUUGGAACUUGAGAGAUGUGUUCUGUUCUCUAGAGGUUCCCCCACAAUGCAUUUUGGUCUGCACAGAGACAAUAUUUCUGGCAAUAUUCCAUGACAUUCGUGUGCCUAAUUGAGCCCACCCUCAAUUUCCUCUCAUGAUAAACUUUUUUAAAGGAAAGGAAAUUUCUUCAAGAGGAGUUCUCCAUUCCAAUAAAAUCAUAGGUCUGGACAACAAAACCCCAAAUGUGGCAACAAAAGCUCUCACAUAACACAAAAGGCCCCAAAUUAUGUAUGUGUAUGUAUGUGUAUACUUCCAGACUCCAUCAAAUUAUUGACACAACCUCUCCAUGUGGAAGAUGUUCAAGAUCUUACUUUUGGGAAAAUUAUAAUGACAGAUACCUUUGCCAGUCUGCUGAAGCUCAUGGAUCCCUUCUCAGAAUAAACUUUUUAAAUAUAUAAAUAAGAUACAUUGGAUUAUAAAAUAAACUCAUUAUAUUGAAAUACA